CCUACGGGAGGCAGCAGUGAGGAAUAUUGGUCAAUGGACGAGAGUCUGAACCAGCCAAGUAGCGUGAAGGAUGACUGCCCUAUGGGUUGUAAACUUCUUUUAUAUGGGAAUAAAAUGUUCCACGUGUGGGAUUUUGUAUGUACCAUAUGAAUAAGGAUCGGCUAACUCCGUGCCAGCAGCCGCGGUAAUACGGAGGAGCCGAGCGUUAUCCGGAUUUAUUGGGUUUAAAGGGAGCGUAGGUGGUUUGUUAAGUCAGUUGUGAAAGUUUGGGGCUCAACCGUGGAAUUGCAGUUGAAACUGGUAGGCUGGAGUACAGUAGAGGUGGGCGGAAUUCGUGGGGUAGCGGUGAAAGGCUUAGAGAGCAGGAAGAACUCCGAUUGCGAAGGCAGCUCACUGGACUACAACUGACACUGAGGCUCGAAAGUGUGGGUAUCAAACAGGAUUAGAUACCCCAGUAGUC
This 460-nucleotide ribosomal RNA is filed under the name uncultured bacterium. Its description in RNAcentral is "partial 16S ribosomal RNA". It matches the Rfam family "Bacterial small subunit ribosomal RNA", at positions 338 to 795 of the family's 1533-position model. The record is from RNAcentral.